Molecule: long non-coding RNA, 487 nt
Filed under: Ananas comosus (pineapple)
Lineage: Eukaryota; Viridiplantae; Streptophyta; Magnoliopsida; Poales; Bromeliaceae
Description: long non-coding RNA (ACOM_LNC016754)
Source: RNAcentral
AGUGGGGAGCAACAUUUCAACCCUCGUUCUGGUGUUAGUGGGGGAACAGUGGCUUAUUUUUCCCUCCCUAAUACCUAAAUCAAACGGUAUCUCAAAUUUGAUAAACAAAAUUGAUAAGAACUUUUAGAACUUAUCUGAAUUACGGACUAUUUUGAAUUUAUUAUCCAAACUUUUAAAACUUUGAUUUUACUAUCAAACUUUUUAAUUUGUUUGAUUUGAGUCUGUCAACGACAUCUUGACUUUAAAAUUUAAGCUGAUUAUUUACUUUAAUAAAUUUAUGACUUCAAGAAUUGUAUGAAAUAUACUAACUAACUAAACCUACAAAGAUAAACAACGUAUUUAAAUUUUAAAGUCAAGAUAUCGUUGAUUGAUUUAAAUCAAACAAAUUUAAAAUUUGAAUAAUAAAAAUUAAAAUUUUAAAAGUUGAAAAAUUAAAUCAAAAUAAUUUAUAAUUCAGGUAAGUUCUGUAUACUUUUAGCAACACAAG